AAAAAAGACAAUUAAAGGCGAAAAGAAAUUUCCCCUUUACGAUAAUAUCGAUCCAAAGUUAUUGUUAACAUUGUGAAAAGAUAAUCGGGGAUGCCACCCUCGUGAAUAUAUGUAAAAAAGGGAGUGGACGGAUACAGCGCAUGCUCGAGUUAAUAUAUUAGGAGUACCGAGCAAUCCGCGCAAAUCGAAUGAAUCGUUCAUUUCGUUUCGAGUCGUCCUAGAAGCACGUUCUUAUGGGCCUUAGAAGAUGGACGGUCCGGAGUAAUAUAAAAGCGCCUCUUCAGUCGCGAUAAUGGAAAUCAUCUAUAACAUUUUAAGCAACACGCUCUCGAUAGUCCUGCAAGUCAUAAUUAUUAACGGAGGGAGAUAGAACUAUUUUCACUAGUACAUGGAUAUAGUUUUCCAUGCGCUGUUACCACACACUUUGCGAGAAGUGGAUAUUCCUUAUAUAAACGUUAAGAAGAGUGGACGACAUAAUUCAAGGAAUCAUUAAAGAAUAUCAAUGGCUACCACGAGCAUUUUAUUCCUGGCAAUUUGCUGCGGCAGCGACAGAGCUUCGAUGUUUACUCGUCGGAGUAGAAAGGAUGACUGAUCCGGAAACUAUCUAAAUCAAUCAUUGUACAACUUUACAGAGAGCGACCGAUCGCCAUUUCAAAAUUUAAGUCUAUCGGAAAAUAAAUUAAAAAUAUUUGUUGCUUCGUAGGCGUCCCGUGGGGCGUUUAACGGAAUGUUACUAAAACAGUGGUUUAUUUAACUUCUCGUAAAUCUAUUUCCUUCACAUGGAUUUAAAAUUACCGAAAGUAUUAAGUUGGAAGUUUUCACCUGUGGAAAGUGAAAACAACCUUCAAAUUCAUUCAAAGGACUGGCUGUAUAAAAACAAUAAUGAUCCCGCUGAGUAAUCAAUUGACACUGAUAAAUGAAGACAAGAAAAAUUAAAAUACGCUUUAUCUUAUCGAAAGUGUUGUUUAAAAUGAUAUAAACGAUAUAAUCCAUUAUCGCGCCUGGGGGGGUGCUUCUAUAGGGUUCCAUCUUCUGGAGUUCAUUAGAACCUGCAUGGAUGACUACGAGACUUAGAAUCAGUAGUUUGUAUUCCUCUUAA
This is a long non-coding RNA of Vespula pensylvanica (western yellowjacket), 1099 nucleotides long. RefSeq lists it as uncharacterized. The record is from RefSeq and is a predicted model, not a curated record. Lineage: Eukaryota; Metazoa; Arthropoda; Insecta; Hymenoptera; Vespidae. The transcript is spliced from 5 exons.